CGCACCUUGCGCCCUUUGGUAUUCCGAAGGGCAUGCCUGUUUGAGUGUCAUUAAAUUCUCAACCUUUGCGAAGCUUGCUUUGCUUAGGCUUGGAUGUGAGGGCUUUGCCGGCUUCCAUUCUGUUGGAUGGUCUGCUCCCUUCAAAUUUAUUAGUGGGAUCUUUUGUGGAUGGUCACUUGGUGUGAUAAUUAUCUACGCCGCCUGACUGAAGCAAGACUUGUGGGAACCCGCUUAUAACCGUCUUCUCGGAGACUAUCUUUGACUAUUUGACCUCAAAUCAGGUAGGACUACCCGCUGAACUUAA
RNAcentral lists this unclassified non-coding RNA (304 nucleotides) under Mycena sp. RNAcentral describes it as "partial contains 5.8S ribosomal RNA, internal transcribed spacer 2, and large subunit ribosomal RNA". Lineage: Eukaryota; Fungi; Basidiomycota; Agaricomycetes; Agaricales; Mycenaceae. The record is from RNAcentral.